Molecule: RNA transcript, 725 nt
Organism: Melozone crissalis (California towhee)
Lineage: Eukaryota; Metazoa; Chordata; Aves; Passeriformes; Passerellidae
Gene: MSRB1
Gene name: methionine sulfoxide reductase B1
Exons: 5
Source: RefSeq, a predicted model, not a curated record
GGAACGGAACGGAACGGAACAGAAGGGAACGGAACGGAUCGGGCAGCGGGCGCAGCCAUGUCCUUCUGCUCCUUCCUGGGGGGAGAGGUGUUCAAGGACCACUUCCAGCCGGGUAUUUACGUGUGUGCCAAGUGUGGCCAUGAGCUGUUCUCCAGCCGUGCCAAGUACGAGCACUCGUCGCCGUGGCCGGCGUUCACCGAGACCCUGCGGGAGGACAGCGUGGCCAAACGCGAGGAGCGCCCGGGGGCCUUGAAGGUGACCUGCGGCAAGUGUGGCAACGGGCUGGGCCACGAGUUCCUCAACGAUGGCCCCAAGAGGAGCCAGUCCCGCUUCUGAAUAUUCAGCAGCUCGCUGAAGUUCGUCCCCAAAGGUAAAGCUGACCUGAAGGAGAAGUAAGUGAGCUGCUGCACCUGCCACUGCCCUGGGCUAAUCCUGCCUCCACUCCUGGGAUGCACUGACCUGCCAAGGGACCCACAGCAGGAGCAACCCCAAGGAAGCUCCUGGUCCGAGUUUCCCCUGAUUGUCUGGUCACGCUUUCCCCUUGAUUUCCCUGUCAAGGUUUUAUUCCCUGAUUUCCCUGUCAGUUUUCCCUGUUGCAGUUCCCCUCGAUUUCUCUGUCACGGUUCUCUGCUGGUUUCCCUGUCCUGGUUCCCCCCUGGUUUCCCUCUCACAGUCCCCCCUGGUUUCCCUGGCUCAGUUCCCCCUGGGGCUGUUCCAGCUCCACC